RNAcentral lists this unclassified non-coding RNA (455 nucleotides) under uncultured Bordetella sp. Its description in RNAcentral is "partial 16S-23S ribosomal RNA intergenic spacer". It matches the Rfam family "Bacterial small subunit ribosomal RNA", at positions 64 to 519 of the family's 1533-position model. Lineage: Bacteria; Pseudomonadati; Pseudomonadota; Betaproteobacteria; Burkholderiales; Alcaligenaceae. The record is from RNAcentral.
GAACGGCAGCACGGACGGUCUGGUGGCGAGUGGCGAACGGAGUGAGUAAUGUAUCGGAACGUGCCUAGUAGCAGGGGAUAACUACGCGAAAGCGUAGCUAAUACCGCAUACGCCCUUCGGGGAAAGCGGGGGACCUUCGGGCCUCACUAUUAGAGCAGCCGAUAUCCGGAUUGGCUAGUUGGUGGGGGUAACGGCUCACCAAGGCGACGAUCCGUAGCUGGUUUGAGAGGACGACCAGCCACACUGGGACUGAGACACGGCCCAGACUCCUACGGGGAGGCAGCGGUGGGAAUUUUGGACAAUGGGGAAACCCUGAUCCAGCCAUCCCGCGUGUGCGAUGAAGGCCUUCGGGUUGUAAGCACUUUUGGCAGGAAAGAAACGGCACGGGAUAAUACCCCGUGCAACUGACAGUACCUGCAGAAUAAGCACCGGCUAACUACGUGCCAACAGCCAUG